CUUAAUUUGACUCAACGCGGGGAAACUCACCAGGUCCAGACACAGUAAGGAUUGACAGAUUGAGAGCUCUUUCUUGAUUUUGUGGGUGGUGGUGCAUGGCCGUUCUUAGUUGGUGGAGUGAUUUGUCUGCUUAAUUGCGAUAACGAACGAGACCUUAACCUACUAAAUAGCAAUAUUAGCAUUUUUGCUGAUUAUGUGCUUCUUAGAGGAACUAUCAGUUUCAAGCUGAUGGAAGUUUGAGGCAAUAA
This 248-nucleotide ribosomal RNA is filed under the name uncultured marine eukaryote. RNAcentral describes it as "partial 18S ribosomal RNA". It matches the Rfam family "Eukaryotic small subunit ribosomal RNA", at positions 1189 to 1456 of the family's 1831-position model. The record is from RNAcentral.